UCUUCGUGCGUCCCUCUUCGUGCGUCCCUCUUCGUGCGUCCCUCUUCGUGCGUGCCUCUUCGUGCCAACCCUGGUUCAUGUUUUUGACUUUAAUUGUUGCCUUGUUUUUGUAUUUGAUUAGCUUUUUAGAAUAAACUCUUUUUUGUUAAACCUCAUCUGGCAUUUGGGUCCACCUUUUCACCUAGUCGUAACAGGGCUUUAACCAAGGUUUUGCCAAAAGAAUCUGGACUCACUGAGACGUCUUUGUUUUAUACGUUAAAAGACGGAGACGAAACGGUGCACAGAGGAGGUCAUAGCCUUGAAAUUUUGGUGCCAGGACAACAACCUCCAUCUCAUUGUCAUCAAAACUAACUCUACUACAAGCAAGCCAAAAAUAUGGAACUGCUUACACUGGCACUCACUCAACAUCUGCAAAAAGUAUUCAGGAACAAGUCGGGGCCCUGGCUGCAAGGACUCGAUAACCCCUCCUCUCUCCCUCUCCCUCUCUCUUGGACGUUGUGGUGAUGGAGGGCUUGGGGGGGUGGGGGGGGUUCCCCUUCACUCCAGACAGAACCUGCCAUUCGAAUGCAAAGCCUCAGCUGCUGCAAAGCAGCCCCUCCUGCCCCCCUCCACCACUACCACCACCACUCUAUUAUUUUGUCGGAUUUCGCAGCUAUUUUUGGAUGGGCAGGCUAAGCCGUCUAAGGAUUUCCACUGGAGAUAUGUCAUCAAAACCCGGCCACCACCCCAUGCGACCAUUAACAUAAAAAUUAAAGAAUUAUAUGCAGAGAAAAUGGGCAGUGAAUAAAUGAAUAAAUAAAUACA
This is a long non-coding RNA of Cottoperca gobio, 804 nucleotides long. RefSeq lists it as uncharacterized. NCBI's taxonomy places the organism in Eukaryota, Metazoa, Chordata, Actinopteri, Perciformes, Bovichtidae. The transcript is spliced from 3 exons. The record is from RefSeq and is a predicted model, not a curated record.